GACGAACGCUGGCGGCGUGCUUAACACAUGCAAGUCGAACGGAAAGGCCCUGCUUUUGUGGGGUGCUCGAGUGGCGAACGGGUGAGUAACACGUGAGUAACCUGCCCUUGACUUUGGGAUAACUUCAUGAAACUGGGGCUAAUACCGGAUAGGAGCUCCUGCUGCAUGGGGGGGGUUGGAAAGUUUCGGCGGUUGGGGUUGGACUCGCGGCUGCGCAGCUUGUUGGUGGGGUAGUGGCUUACCAAGGCUUUGCCGGGUAGCCGGCCUGAGAGGGUGAGCGGACACGUCGCGACUGAGAUACGGCCCGGCCUACUCCGGGACGCAACGGUGGAGAAUAUUGUACAGCGGGCGGAAGCAUGAUGUAGCAACGCCGCGUGCGGUAUAUCGGCCUUCGGGUAGUAAUCCGCUUUCGUCUGUGACGAAGCGUGAGUGACGGUAACGGGUGAAGAAGCACCGGCUAACUACGUG
RNAcentral lists this ribosomal RNA (468 nucleotides) under uncultured bacterium. RNAcentral's name for it is "partial 16S ribosomal RNA". It matches the Rfam family "Bacterial small subunit ribosomal RNA", at positions 28 to 507 of the family's 1533-position model. The record is from RNAcentral.